GGGUCAGUAGGUUGGUCGUGCCACCGGUACGUACUGGUCACACUGAUUCCUCCUUCCUGAAGAACCGUAAUGCCAUUAAUUUGGUGUUGCGGGAAACAGGACUGUUACUUUGAAAAAAUUAGAGUGUUUAAAGCAAGCUAACGCUUGAAUACAUUAGCAUGGAAUAAUGAAAUGGGACGAUCGAUCCUAUUUUGUUGGUUUCUAGGAUUGACGUA
Molecule: ribosomal RNA, 215 nt
Filed under: Glomeromycotina sp.
Lineage: Eukaryota; Fungi; Glomeromycota
Description: partial small subunit ribosomal RNA
Rfam family: Eukaryotic small subunit ribosomal RNA (bases 75-215)
Source: RNAcentral